This 237-nucleotide ribosomal RNA is filed under the name uncultured bacterium. RNAcentral describes it as "partial 16S ribosomal RNA". It matches the Rfam family "Bacterial small subunit ribosomal RNA", at positions 32 to 250 of the family's 1533-position model. The record is from RNAcentral.
AAUCAACGCUGGCGGCGUGCCUAACACAUGCAAGUCGAACGCGAAAGCCCCUCGGGGUAAGUAGAGUGGCGUCCGGGUGAGUAACACGUAGGUAAUCUACCUUCGGGUGGGGAAGUAACUCGCCGAAAGGCGAGCUAAUACCGCAUAAUGCAGCGGCACCUAAUGGUGAUUAGUUGUUAAAGCGGGGAGUCGUAAGACCUCGCGCCUGAAGAGGAGCCUGCGGCAGAUUAGCUAGUU